CAGAUCCAGGCUAUGAGAAUCACUUCCACCAGUGAGCUGCUCCAGGUUGGAUUCUGGGGCAAGGGCUAGAGUUCAAGAGAUGUGGGUGUUUGUGGAGGAAAAGCUCAAAAAGAUGGUGCUGGUGAAUUUCGGCAUCGGUCUUAUGCCUGUCCUCUGCAGUUUAAAUGCAAAAUCCAACAAUGACGAAAGACUGCCGUUGUCUGGGAAACAAUUGAUUCGACUCUUUGUUUGGGUAGAAGAGCUCUCAUACAUGACUCAAGGGUGGGGUGACAGCCUCUGUACAAAUGGCCUGCCUGUUUGUUAACAGACUGGAGAAAGUUUUUGUGAGGUUAAAACAGUUCUUG
Molecule: long non-coding RNA, 344 nt
Filed under: Cyanistes caeruleus (blue tit)
Lineage: Eukaryota; Metazoa; Chordata; Aves; Passeriformes; Paridae
Description: lncRNA (ENSCCEG00000009823.1)
Source: RNAcentral